GUGUGCGGCUCUACCCCCCUGAAAAUGUCUGACCUCAUGUCAUCUCAGAUGGUAAGCAAGGUCAGGCUUAGAUAACAUAUGGAUAGGAGAUUGCCUAGGAAUGUUUGCUACUGCAUCUG
Ribosomal RNA from Phascolarctos cinereus (koala), 119 nucleotides. NCBI's taxonomy places the organism in Eukaryota, Metazoa, Chordata, Mammalia, Diprotodontia, Phascolarctidae. The record is from Ensembl.